AUAAACGAAAAAAAUAAUGUUCUUCAAAAUUCUUAAAUAGUUCAUCAAAGCUAAAUAACAUGUUGCAAGGUUCAAACUUGGGUCAAAAGAAAUUUGGCUUAGGGUUUGAAUCAGAUGCACCUAUUAAAAAACCCUUACAUACCUUAACUUAUAAUGAUUAUUUUGUAAGGGAAUCUAGCUAUAGAAAACCCAUUCAUCUUAAGAAAAAGAAAAAUCACUCUAAUAUGAAUCAUCCAAAGCAAAGAUGGAUGACUUAGGAUGAGCUAAGAAAUUAUAAACAAAUUAAGUAUUUUAAUUCAUCUGGACCCAACUCAGUAUGGGCACCAAAAGAUUUUUCAACUCUUUCAAUAAAAACAAGUGUCAAAAUGGUUGUUCGACAAUGGAUGCACAAGGCACAUGACUGGGGAAUCAAGUCUACUAACAGACUUGAUAGACUUGCCUACUGCUAAAAAUGUCAAGUUCGCCGAUAACAACGAAGGUAUAAUAGUAGGUAGGGGUAAUGUAGGAAAUAUAGAAAUACCAUUUUUAAGAAAUGUAUAUUUAGUAAAUGGUCUUAAACACAACCUGAUUAGCAUAAGUCAAUUAUGUGAUAUUGGUUGUGUAGUAAAAUUUGAAAAAUAUAAUAGCUUAAUUACUAACUCUGAGGGAGUUACUAUUGCCAAAGGAUAUAGAAAAAACAAUGCCUAUUCUAUAAACUUUGAUAAAUCUAAUCCUGAUGAAGCACGAAAUCUGCUACCAGUAGGCUCGCGGGGUUGCGAGGAGGGCCGGAGGCUUUGGAAUUAACGACGCGCGCUCUACGUCAAUGUACCUGCAGAAGUGGAGGGGCGUCGGCGACUCAGGUGUGGGAGUCGGCGACUCGGGCUCCUUGGUUUGCUCUGGUGUGAUGUGGUCAAGUGGGAAUGACUUGGUAGUAGAGGACCCCCAAGGGCCCCUUUUAUAGGGUCCUGGAGGACGUUUCCCCAUUCAUUAGCGUGGGGCCCACCGCAUUAUGGUGCCCUAUUGAAGGGUGCCAUAAUAACGUGGGCCCUCCCAAGUAACGGCUGGGAAUCGGCGACUCAGGUAUGGGAGUCUCCGAUUCAGAGGUGGAGUCGCCGACUCCCUUGUGGUCAGGUCCUCGGUCUACCAGACCCGAGUGCCCUGUCUGGAGUCGGCGAUUCACCCCUGGAGUCGGCGACUUGGUAGCCCCAGUCGACGAUUCCCAGGUGUUGCCUUGAGUACUUGACGUAGAUACUUCCUCCGCAUUGUGGAACUCUCCGGGGGUUCGGCAUAAAUCGACGGAACCCUAGUCCUUAUUGAAGGGCGUUGCUGAGAGUGACUGACGUAAUCAAGCAUGUCUCACCAAAUCCCAUUCAUGACUUCUGCAUGCUUGCUGCAAGUGAUGAAAAAGUUCUAUGACAUAGACGUUUAGGUCACACCAGUUAUUUAAAACUAUCUAAAUUAUCUAAAGAAGAAUUAGUAACUGGGUUGCCUAAAAUAGCUUAUGAGAAAAGUAACAUCUGUGGUGCUUGCCAAAAAUGAAAGCAACACAAAAGCUCUUUUAAAUCCCUCACAGAAAUAACCACUUCUAGACCCUUAGAACUUCUUCACAUGGACUUAUUUGGGCCAACCCAAACCCAAAGUCUUGGAGGAAAAAGGUUCACCUAUGUAAUCAUUGAUGAUUACUCCCGCUAUACAUAGGUAUUCUUUCUAAGAAAUAAAAGUGAAACCUUUGGUGAAUUCUCUAAAUUUUGUACCCUAGUAUAAAAUGAAAAGAGUUCAUCCAUCAUAAAGAUCAGAAGUGAUCAUAGAGGAGAAUUUGAAAAUUCUGAUUUUGAAGAGUACUGUACAUCCAAUGGAAUAAAACAUGAAUUUGCCUUUCCUCAAGCUCCACCUCAAAAUGGAGUAGUUGAAAGGAAAAAUCGUAUACUUCAAGAAAUGAAUAGGUCUAUGUUACAAGAACAUGACUCCCCUCAAUAUCUAUGGGCAGAAGUUGUAAGCACUGUCUGUUACAUUCUCAAUAAGGUAAUCAUCAGGAAAACCUUAAACAAAACUCCUUAUGAAAUUUGGAAUAACAGAAAACCCAAAGUUUCAUUCUUUAAAGUAUUUGGGAGCAAGUGCUAUGUUCUCAAAAUAAGGAAAAACCAAGAUAAAUUUGCACAAAAAUCUGAUGAAGGAAUCUUGGUUGGAUACUCAAGAAGGAGCAAGGCCUAUAGAGUGCUACUCAAGGAAAGAUAAACGUUGAAAGAAUCCCUACACGUUGACUUUGAUGAAUCCAUAUCUGUCCCAAACACAGAAGAAGGAGGAAUUGAAAUCAUUCAACAAUUACCACAAGACACUCCUAUAGAAGAAGAUGAUCAAGAAGAAAUAAUCAUUCCUCAACUUCCAUCAAGUAGGAAUCUUAGAAACCCACACUUUGUAGAACAAAUCAUUGGAGAUCAACACACUGACGUACAGACAAGAUCAUCUAUACAAGGCAAUUGCGUCCUAAAUUGCUUUGUAUCUCAAAUGGAGCCCAAGAAAAUUGAAGAAGCCCUAGACGACAGUCAUUGGCUAAUGGCUAUGCAAGAAGAACUCAAUCAAUUUGAGAGAAGCAAUGUGUGGGAGUUAGUUCCAAAACCUAAAGAUACAUCUAUCAUUGGAACAAAGUGGGUUUUUAGGAACAAGCUGGAUGAAGAUGGAAAAAUCAUUAGAAACAAGACUAAACUGGUAGCUCAAGGUUACAAUCAACAAGAAGGGAUAUACUACGAUGAAACCUUUGCACUAGUAGCUCGCUUAGAAUCCAUCAGAAUGCUUUUGACAUUUGCUUGUCACAAAAACUUCAGACUAUGCCAUUUGGAUGCGAAAAGUGCAUUUCUAAAUGGAGUAGUAAAUGAACAAGUGUAUGUCAAACAACCUCCAAGCUUUGAAGACUUUAAACAUCCAGAUUAUGUUUUGAAGCUAAACAAAGCUCUGUAUGGACUUAAGCAAGCUUCCUGAGCUUGAUAUGAAAGACUGAGAAAUUUUCUAAUAUCUCAGAACUUUAGAAUGGGGAGUAUCGACAAUACAUUAUUCAUUAAAAAUGUUAAGGAUGAUAUCCUUCUCAUUCAAAUAUAUGUUGAUGAUAUUAUAUUUGGCUCAACAAAUAACACAAUGUGUGAAAAAUUUUCGAGUCAAAUGGAAAAGGAAUUUGAGAUGAGUAUGAUGGGAGAAAUGACUUUCUUCUUAGGUUUGCAAGUCAAACAAAAGGAGAGUGGAAUCUUUAUAAGUCAAACUAAAUAUGCUAAGGAAUUAGUCAAAAAGUUUGACCUAGCCGACUCAAAAUCAGCUGUAACUCCCAUGAAUUCAACCUUAAAGCUAGAUAAAAAUUCUGAGGGUCCAUCUGUAGAUAACAAAAAAUAUCAUGGAAUGAUUGGAUCCCUCCUAUAUCUGAUAGCUAGCAGACCAGACAUUAUGUUUGCAGUCUGUCUAUGUGCUAGAUAUCAAUCUGACUCUAAAGAGUCUCAUCUCAAAGAAGUUAGAGAAUAAUCAGAUAUGUAAAAGGUACUAUCACACUUGGAUUAUUCUACCCUAAGAAUGAUACUUUCAUCCUUAAUGCCUAUUGUGAUGCUGACUUUGGUGGAUGUAAAACUCAAAGAAAAGUACAAGCGGUACAUGUUUUCUGUUAGGAAGUUCACUUGUAUCUUGGUCAUGCAAAAAGCAACAUAGUAUAGCCUUAUCCACAACAGAAGAAGAAUAUAUGGCAGCAUCCAAUGGUUGCGCACAAAUUUUAUGGAUGAAGCAAACUCUGUCUGACUAUAACGUCAAGUUAGACACAAUAUCUCUAAAAGUGUGACAAUAAGAGUGCAAUAUGUCUAUCAAAAAAUUCUAUACUGCACUCUAGGUCAAAACACAUUGAUGUCAGACAUCACUUCCUUAGAGAUCAUGUAGAAAUGAAAAACAUAUGUCUGGAAUAUAUCCCAACUGAAGAUCAGAUGACAGACAUAUUCACUAAACCCUUAGAUCAAGAAACUCAUUCAAAAAUAAAAAGAUCUAUGGGUAUAUGUGAACUUGAUGAAAUCUGAUAUGAUCUCUUAAAUAUUCUUAGUAAAAACUUGCAUGCUUAUAUUAUGAUCAUUUACAUGCUAAAAUAUACAAUAUACAUGGUAAAAUAAAGAUCUAAAUAUAAUGCAUGCCUACAUGUCUAGUUAAUACAUUUCAUGCUACUAAGAUUACAUGAUAACUAUCUUUUACAUUCUUAUACAUGCAAGCUUAUACGUAUCUAUGAAUCAUACAUGCAUAAUACUAAAUCUUUCUUUACUAAAGUCGUUGACUCAUAAUCAUUUAUAAAACUAAUCCAAUACAUGCAUAAUGAAAUUUCACGUAUUACUAAUCAUCUGCAUGUUUAGAAUCAUCUGAUAAAUACAUAUUACAAUCGUGUGCAUGUAUAUAUGCAAAGUAAAAUGAGUCUACUUAAAUAUAAGAUUUAAAAUACAUGCAUGAAAAACUUCAAGUCUAUCAAUAAAUCUUUUACAUGUUUAUAAAUGCCACGAAUAAGAUUAUGCAUGCAAGUUAACACUUAAUUAUGAUUCAUAAGACAUGCAUGAUAUAAUCUAUUAAAAGAUAAAAGAUAUGCAUGGAAUAUUCAAAGGGUCGUUGACUCAUGCCAUGUCACAACAUACAUGCACUAUGAAAUUAACCAUGGAAUAUCCAAAUCCAUAUAGCAUUAUCUGUUACAAGUACAGGUGGCUUGGGUAAACAUGCUAAUUGUCAAAAUCUUGGUAAGCCAAAACCCUUUCUAUAUCUUGAAAAACCAAGCAAAAACCUCGGCAUUGGAGAAAGAAACUGCACACUGCAACCUCGAUACAUGAAAUUUCAGCCACCAAACUUAACUUGUCACAGCCAAGUUAAUCAGUCACUCAUGACACCAUACCCGGUGUGUGAUUUGCACAGUGCAAGAACCCUGCAAGAAGCUCUGGCAGAAGAAAAUCUCGCACCUGCACUACACGAACACAUCAAUCGUUACCUGCAAAAGUUGAAAAAGAAGCAUGAAUUGUCGUGGAUAGAGCAAGGAAUGCGUCGAUCACUACAAAAGGUAUGAUUUAAAAUAAAUUAUAUAUAGAAAAUCUGAAAACAUAUCUAAAUUCAGAUCUUGUAGACAUCUGAAAAGACAAAAUUUCUGUCUAAGAAAUUUAAUUAAGAUAAAUCUGUCUAAAUUCAUCAAGUAGGGUUUAUGGUUUAUUGAAAAACAAACCCUAAAGCUGCUUACUUUUCAAAGUUAGACACGACCCAAAGCUAAUUUGAUCAUCACUUGUAAAGUUUACAAGCAAUGUCAGUUAAUUGGGAAUCCGGACAGAUCUUUAAACUUAAAGAAGAUCACUCAAAAUACUAUUUAAAGCAUAGGAAGAACAAACAAAUUCAUAUCUUCUUCUUCUUCCUAAAUCCAGUCUGUCCCAAGGAUGUUGAUUCAAGAAAUCAACCUACAACAGAAGGAGAUAACCAUCAUACCCGAUUGUCCUUCCAGUCCGGUAUACAAUCCUAAUUCUUCAAGCAGCAAUAUCCCAUCCGGAAAAAAUGCACCAGAAGGAUACCAGUGACUGAGAUGUUCCAAGGAACACCAACAUGGAUCUCUCCAAUAGCCAAGCUUUCCUACAAUCUCAUUCUCGAGCAAAAAAUGAUCUUUGAGGAAUCAGUUCUGCUCAAAUCUCUCAACUGCAAAGUAAUCGAAGAGCUUUCGAACUUCAAUAGACUCUCGGGCUAUCUUGAGAACAUAGGGCAGCUUAGGAUCUACAAAUCCGAGUUAGCUCAGUUCUAUGCUAAUCUCAAGUAUGAGACAGCAGGUAUGCAAGUGAUCACAACCAAGGUGAAUGGAGUAUGUCUUAUUCUAAGAGCUGAUAACUUUGCAACAUGGAUGAACCUACCUAAUGACGGAGUAAAGCUUCAAAACUACAAAAAUUUGAAUGAGCCAUCCUUCAAAUGCAGCUGGGAGACUCUCUGGAAUACUCUUACUCAUAGGUACAAUCCUAGAAGCACUGAUAAAAUCUUAAACACAAUGCUCAUACCAGAAGUCUCAAUCUUUUUGAAGAUAAUCACUUGUAAUAUAUAUCCUCAAGCUGAUGAUAGAGAAGAGCCAUCAACAAUGAUCUUGGUGGCAAUCUACUGCUUGCUAUCAAAGAUCAGAGUGAACUGGGUAUCACUGAUCAUGCACAAUUUGGCAAUAUUAACUAGGAACACUGGAGCUCGUCACUAUCCAAGGAUGCUCUCAAAACUUCUUGGUCCAGGGUAUUUUGAAAUCCCACUCUAUCUAAAUCCACUCAUAGUUCUUAUUCAACCCUUCACUACAAGCUCAUUCCAAAAGAAAUGGAAGAAUACUUAUAAUCCAAUCUCACAAGACACUAAUGUGUUUUUGAAUGAGGAAAUCAUAAAGAUUCGACAUCAAGUAAGGAUGCUGGAAAAAGGAAUGGGAGAUCUGGAAGAGAUGGUGUCUAUAACAAGGCAACAACUGGAGGUUGAGAGAGAGUACAACCUGGAGCUUGCAAACCUAUUUCAUAAGUUUAGCUCCAAGGUUAUUCCAGCCAUGCACCACCACGACUGAACUACACCUGCCCUAAGGAGUAUUUUGGUAUUUUGAGUGUUUGUAUUUUGUGUUUGUGUCUAUUUUGUUGUAUUUUGAAGAUCCAGCCAUGGAUCUUGAUCUCAUAUGAUACUUGAGAUCGCACCACAUGCUACUCACCUAUGCUGUGUGUUUGUUUGAAGUUAAAUGAAAUAUCAUUUGCAAGUAACACAUAGAAGCUUAUUAUAAGGGUAUGCAUGUAAGAAAAUAAACAAACUUAACAGAAAAUCAAAAUAAGUUAAGGGCUGCAUGGAUAGAAUAAAAACUUCAAAGAAUUAACGUAAAAUGUUUUAUGAAGUUUUUAAGUUUAAAAAGAUUCACUGAAACUUAAGGGUUCAAAUGAUAUCUUUACAGUGAAUGAAUAUUUAUUUAAAACUUCAAGGACUUAGAAUUAAUAUUUACAUGAAGUUUUUAAAUCGAAAAAAUGCUCAGAAAUAUUUAAUACCUCCAAGGUUUAAAAUAAAAUUUUUUAAGUAUUAAUCUAAGUACUUAUCAUAACUUCAAAGGGCUUAAAUGAAAAUUUUUAAGUGAAGUUUUAUUACUAAUACUUUAAGGACUGAAAUGAAAUUUUUAAAAUCUUUUAAAAUUUAGUGAAUAUUUACAUGAUUAUAUGUUUGUCACUAAGACAUAGAUUUUAAAACUUUAAGUGCUCAAUUCUUCUUAAAGUAGUUAAUGAAUAUUGACUUAUACAUACAUAUCAUUCCCUAAUAUAUCUUAUGGAUUAUAACAUUAUAAAAUCUUUAAUCUAUACAUGUUAAGAUCAAUUUAUCCAUAACACACAUGAAUUAUUCUUCAUUGCAUGAUUUUAACACAAGGUAAUUUAAAUUAUCAUAUCAUACAUGCCUUAUAACGUAUAUCAAAAUUGGCUUCAAUCCAAUAUUUUAUCAAUGAGCAUAAAUUACAUGUUAUUUCUUCUAUAUGAUUGACUAACACUCUUAUAAGCAAGAAGUCACAUUUGGUCAACCACACGAAUCAAAUUUGUGAUCAAAGCUCAAUAAGGUAUGAAGUUUUAUUUUCUCCACAAAUUAGAUAUGUCAUAUCAUUAAGGGGGAGAUACUUCACGGGUAUCUAUUUUAACUUUGUCGAUUCCUUAUUGUUUUAAGGGGGAGAUAUCAUGCAUGAUCCACUGCUUUUAAAUUGAAUAUUAUGGGUCAAUAAUUCAGGGGGAGCAUGCUCAUAAGGGUAAAAUAGAAUAUUGACUAGACAUGAAUUAAAACAUAUAUGCCAUCACCAAAGGGAGAGAAUGUAGAAUCAAAAUUGUUCACAUAGGAUUAUAUUUUAAUCAUGUCAAUUUAAAUCCUAAUUACACUAUUAAUCUAUAAGGGUUAAAUAAGUCGGUCGAUAUUAAACCUAACUCCAAUUAAUUAAUUAAUCAUUUGAGUCAAAGGUUUAAUUCAAAGUUAAAAGUUAAAUUGGAAUAAUUGCAUCUUUACCUUGAAUAUUAUUAUUAUUAUCAUCUUUUGACUCUUUAUUCAAGGUAUAAUAUUCCAAGGGGACAAAACACUAUUCACGUUUGAAUUUUUCCAAGAUAAGAUUCUUCAACAAACACUAUCCAAGAAAAUACUAUUCAAGAUAAGAUCAAAGAAAAAACUUGGAUUUAUGUGAGAAAUCAAUGAGCUAUCCAUUGAAGAUCCAAGGGUAGACAUUGAGUGGCCAAGGCUAUAAAUAGAAGGGUAUUCCCCUCAUUUUCACUCACCACACAACAAGUAAAUCAAAAGAGGUUUUCACUCCACAUUUGAGCUCUCACGUUUUUGCCUCCAAGCUUCCAAGUGCUAAAGUGUCCUAGAUUUCCAAAGCUUCAAAAGCUCUCCAACUUCUUCUUCUAAUCUUCUUGUUCAUCUCUACAAGUAAGAAGUGUUGUUUGCUUAAAUAUUCCAUUCCUUUAAUCACCUCUUGUGUGUGUCCACUUUGGUUGAGAGGGUUGUCUCAAUAUCACUAAAGUGUGAGAGAAGGUUUUUAAGCUCAACCAUAAAGCUCUAGUUUGGUUUUAUAGAGUUUCCGGGAAAACUCUUAGGUCGAAUCUACCUUGAAAGAUUUCUAGGUUUUUAAGAGUUCUUUGAUACUCUAAGGUCCUAACUUACCCGUAAAAGUUAGAGGUUUUUAAGAGUUUCAUAAUACUCUAAGGUGUGAGUCUAUCCGUAAAAGACUGGUUCCUAAGCGAAGUUAGCCUUAAAGCUUAGAGAGGUUUUUAAGAGUUCCUUGAUACUCUAAGGUACUAACUUACCCGUAAAAGUUGGAGGUUUUUAAGAGUUCCUUAAUACUCUGAGGUGUGAGUCUACCCGUAAAAGACUGGUUCCUAAGCAAAGUUAGCCUUAAAGCUUAGAGAGGUUUUUAAGGGUUUCCUUGAUACUCAAAGGUUUUGCCAUAACCUUUAGGCUAGUGAAUUCCGACAGUUGGUCUGGACUGGAUUAGCCCUUGUUUGGGUGAACCAGUAUAAAUCCUCUUGUGUUGUUCUUUGUUAACUUUAGUUUUAUCUUUCUUAUAAAAACAACUAAAACAACACUAAAUUGAAAAGGAUCCCUCUUCCAGUUAUCUGGUCAUAACAGAGGUUGACUUCUUUAUGCAGAUCCCUCAUCCAGUUAUCUGGUCAUCUGAGGUUAUAUUAUUUGUCUUAAAUCCUUUCAAGCAUUUACUUAUCGAAGAUAUAUAUAUCCAGUUAUCUGGUCAUUUACUCUAUAAUAUAAUUUGUGUUUGCAAUAUAACUUAGUAUUCACUUACUAUAGUUAUUUACAACACUAUCAAAUAAGUUGACUUAGUAUUCAUAUACUGUAGUAUGCUUUGAAGAGUAAUAAUUAUAAUAUCAUCUAAAAAGUUAUAAUACUAUUAUUGUUCAACCAUUUGUUUCUUAAGUGUUUAUAGGUAAUUCCGCAAUCAACCUUAUAAAUCGAAAAGAAGUAAUUAUCCCCCCUUAUAGCUUCGGAUCACGAUCCAACAAGUGGUAUCAGAGGCAAGUUCCGUUGAAGUCAGACUAACAUCUUACAACAACAACUAUGGCUUCAAAUGGUGAAAACAGUACUGGUCUUGCAUCGAAUAAACCUCCCAGGUUCGAUGGAGUAAAGUAUGACUUCUGGAAGAUCUAUUGAAGUUAUACUUGAAGUCAAUCAACAAUGGAGUCUGUAAGAUCAUAUUGGAAGAUUAUGAGAUUCCAACAAGCAAAGAAGAGACUUGGGAAGCAAUGGAUAUCCUCAAGGAAAACAACAACUCAAGAGCAUUGAAUGCACUAUAUGGUGCUCUCAAUGAAUCUGAGUAUAGCAGAAUUCGAUGUUUGGAUACAACUCACAAGGUAUGGAAAGCUUUGGAGGAUCUACAUGAAGGAACCUCCCACGUCAAGGAAAACAAGCUACUACAUGCCACCUCUCAGUUCAAAAGAUUCUCUAUGAGAGAAGAUGAGACUAUCACAAAUAGUCAAUGAUCUGGCUGGACUAGGAGAUCCAGUAACUGAGAAGAAGUAAGUGAGCAAAAUUCUAAGAAGCCUUCCAAACAAAUACUACUCAAAAAGGAAUGCAAUCCAUGAAUCUCAUGAUCUGAACAAACUCACAAUUGUAGAACUUUGCGGAAAUCUGAUUGCCUAUGAAGAGGAAAGAUUUAUCUCUAGAACAAAAGAAGGGAAAAAGGACAUCGCUCUCAAAAGUCAAUCCGAUAAUGAAACAUCUGAUGAUGACUUGGCAAUGAUCACAAAUCAUUUUAAGAGAUAUCUCAUAAAAAGGAAAGAAAAGAGAAAUUCAAGGUCCAACUAUCAGAAUUCCGAUAGAAAAUUGCUCAGAAACCCCUAAGACGCAAAGGAGCCUAUCUGCUAUCUGUGCAACAAACCUGGAUAUAUCAAACUUGAAUGUCCUCUGCUAAAGAAAGAAAAAGUACAUCGAGUAUACUGGUCAGACUCCGAAUCAGAUCAAGAAGACUGCCUCAUGUCUCAUGAAAGUGACUCUGAGGUAAAUUUUACAAAUACUAGAUUUAAUUCAUUAGAAAAAGGAUAUCUAGAAUUAAUGAAUAAAUAUAAAGCUGAAAAAAAAUUAAGUCAUUAAGAAUAGAAUGCUUGAAUAAAUCACAUGUUGAUCAUUCAAUAGAAUUAGAAGAAUCACAAAAGGAAUGCAUGCUAUUAAAAGAAGGAAAUUAUAAACUCUCAAGUAAAAUAGAAAAAAGGGAUGAAAAAAUUAAAAUACUCAAGAGUCAAAAUUUUGAAUUACUUGAACUUCUAAAUUCUGAAGAAAAUCAGUCUAAGGAAAUAGAUGAUGAUAAGGUUGAAUUGUUAGAAUUAAAAAUAGAUAAUUUUGAGGAAGUCAUUAGGAAUAAAGAAAAAGAAACAAUCAUGCUUAAAACUGAAAUAAAAUCUAGAGAUAAAAUCAUACUUGAGCAUGAAGAAACUUUACAAAAAUUAUCUGAAAAAUGUAACUACAUGCAAUUACAAACUCAAAGAAUAAACGAAAAAAAUAAUGUUCUUCAAAAAUUCUUAAAUAGUUCAUCCAAGCUAAAUAACAUGUUGCAAGGUUCAAACUUGGGUCAAAAGAAAUUUGGCUUAGGGUUUGAAUCAGAUUAACCUAUUAAAAAAUCCUUACAUGCCGUAACUUAUAAUGAUCAUUUUGUAAGGGAAUCUAGCUAUACGAAACCCAUUCAUCUUAAGAAAAAGAAAAAUCACUCUAAGAUGAAUCAUCCAAAGCAAAGAUGGAUGACUAAGGAUGAGCUAAGAAAUUAUAAACAAAUUAAGUAUAUUAAUUCAUUUGGACCUAACUCAGUAUGGGUACCAAAAGAUUUUUCAACUUUUUCAAGAAAAAAGUGUCAAAGUGGUUGUUCGACAGUGGAUGUACAAGGCACAUGACUGGGGAAUCAAGUCUACUAACAGACUUGAUAGACUUACCUACUACUAAAAAGGUCAAGUUCGCUGAUAACAACGAAGGUACAAUAGUAGGUAGGGGUAAUGUAGGAAAUACUGAAAAACCAUUCUUAAGAAAUGUGUAUUUAGUAAAUGGUCUAAAUCACAACCUGAUUAGCAUAAGUCAAUUAUGUGAUAUCGGUUGUGUAGUAAAAUUUGAAAAAUAUAAGUGUUUGAUCAUUAACUCUGAGGGAGUUACUAUUGCCAGAGGAUAUAGAAAAAGCAAUGCUUAUUCUAUAAACAUUUAUAAGUCUAAACCAACUCAUGAUUUCUGCAUGCUUGCUGCAAGUGAUGAGAAAGUUCUAUGGCAUAGACGAUUAGGUCACAUCAGUUAUUUAAAACUAUCUAAAUUUUCUAAAGAAGAAUUAGUAACUGGGUUGCCUAAAAUAGCUUAUGAGAAAAGUAAUAUCUGUGAUGCUUGCCAAAAAGGAAAGCAACACAAAAGCUCUUUUAAACCCCUCACAGAAAUAACCACUUCUAGACCCUUAGAGCUUCUUCACAUGGACUUAUUUGGGCCAACUCAAACCCAAAGUCUUGGAGGAAAAAGAUUCACCUAUGUAAUCAUUGAUGAUUAUUCUCGCUAUACAUGGGUGUUCUUUCUAAGAAACAAAAGUGAAACCGUUGGUGAAUUCUCUAAAUUUUGUACCCUAGUACAGAAUGAAAAAGGUUCAUCAAUCAUAAAAAUCAGAAGUGAUCAUGAAGGAGGAAUUGAAGUCACUCAACAAGUGUCACCUGACACUCCUAUAAAAGAAGAUGAUCAAGAAGAGACAAUCAUCCCUGAACUUUCAUCAAAUAGGAAUCUUAGAAACCCACGCUCUGUAGAACAAAUCAUUGGAGAUCAACACACUAGCGUACAGACAAGAUCAUCUAUCCAAGGCAAUUAUAUCCUAGAUUGCUUUGUAUCUCAAAUAAAGCCUAAGUAGAUCUAUGGGUAUAUAUAUAUGAACUUAAUAUAAUCUAUCAAAUAUUUGUGAAAAUAUGCGUACUUUUACUAUGAUCAUUCACAUACUAAGUUCUGCACACACAUAGCUAAAUGCAUGUCUAUCAUAUAUGACAAUCACGUUAAUGCAUUCCAUGCUACUAGAAGUUACAUGAUCUAAAACAACUAUCUGAUAAAUGCAUGCUUUACAGAUAUUACAUGCUUGAUUCACACACAUCAUGCAUACAUGCAUCACUAUGAAACUAAUCCCAUAUCACCAAUCAUUUGCAUGUCUUUGAAUGAUACUAUCUUUUAAUACAAGUUAAUGAACUAUAUGAUAUGGAAUCAUGAGCAUAAAUCUAUACGUGAAUAUGCAUGCAAACUUAUACGUAUUUAUUAAACACAAGACAUGCAUCCUUCUAAAAGUCAUCAACUCAUAACCAUUUAUGAAACUAAUCCUAUACAUGCCUGUUUUACGUAUUACAAACCAUCUGCAUGCUUAGAAUCAUCUGAUAAAUACAUAUAUAGUAUGCAUGCAAAGUAAAAUGAGUUUACUUACAUAUGAGAUGUACAAUACAUGCAUGAAAACUUCAAAUCAACUCAUUACAUGCCACGAUUAUGCAUACAAGAUUAACACUUGAUUAUAAGAUAUGCGUAAUAUAAUCUAUGCAUGUAAUAUUCAAAGGGUCGUUGACUCAUGCCAUGUUACUUGUAUUAUAAAACAAAUCUUAUACAUGUAUGAUAAAAUAUCACUAAUCAUUUGCAUGUUUAGAAUUAUUUAUUGAAUACAAGUUAAUCAACUAAUACACGACAUCAUUUAUUUUUGAAAAUCAAUUCUACUAUAUAUAUCUAAAUGGUGUGGUAAACCAAACUAUAUCCUGGAAACUCAAAUAAAUAAGAUAAAAUUGGAAACUCUCGUCUGCAACCUUGAUGCUGCAAUUCUAGCCAGCAGACUCAUCCUGUCGCAACCAUCAAUCACUUGCGACAUCCAACAACACCAUACCUGGUAUGUAACCUGCAAGCCAUGAUAACACCUCGCAAGAAGUGCAGACAUAAGACCAUCCUGCACCUGCACAACGUCAAUCGUUACCUGCACAAGCUCAAGAACCGUCGUCUGCAGAAGCAAAGUACAUGGAGGUCACUUCUUGCAUACAGGACCACGUCGAACACUACAAAAGGUAUGGUCUAAAAUAUUUAAUUUGAAUAAAAAGUCUGAAAUAUAUCUAAAUUCAGAGCUGAUAGACAUCUAAAAAGGUUAAAUUUCUGUCUAAGAAAUUUAAAUCAAAACAUCUGGAUGAAUCUAUUCCAAGAUUCACCAAGUAGGGUUUAGAAAAUCAAACCCUAAAGCUGCUAACCUUCCAAAGUUAGACAUGACUUAAAGAUGGUUUCAUCAUUACUUAUAACUCCACAAGUAAUGUUAGUACAUGGAGAAUCUGAACAGACUAUUUAGAUAAGCUUAAGGUUAAUCAAAUCACUAUAUAAGCAUAGGAAGAGCAACAAACUGUAUCCUUUUCUUCCAUCUAAAAAUUCAUUCUGUCUCAAACAUGUUGAUUCAAGAAAUCAAUAUGCUACAACCUAAGGAGGAAUUUAUCAUCACACCUGACUGCCCUUCAAGUCCGGUGUACCAUCCAAACCCCUCCAGUAGCAAUCCCAUCCGGAGAAAGCGCACCAGAAGAAUUCCAAAGGCAGAAAUAUUCCAGGGUUCACCAAUAUGGAUCUCUCCAACGGCAAGGUUGUCUUACAACCUCAUUCUCGAGCAAAGGAUGAUCUUUGAAGAACCAGUCCUGCUAAGAUCUCUCAACUGUAAAGUGAUCGAAGGCCUGUUGAGUUUUAACAGACUUUCUGAUUAUCUUGAGAACAUCGGACAUCUUAGGAUCUACAAAUCAGAGCUGGCUCAGUUCUAUGCCAAUCUCAAGUUUAACACUGUAGGCAUACAAAGGAUCACAACCAUGGUGAAUGGAAUAUGUCUGAUUCUCGAAGCUGAUAAACUUAGUACAUGGAUUAACCUACCAAAUGAUGGAGUGAAGAUUCAAAAUUAUAAAAAUCUUAAAGAGCUACCUUUCAAGUGUGAUUGGGAGAUUCUCUGGAACACCCUUACUCAUAGGUAUAACCCUAGAAGAACUGAAAAGAUCUUGAAAUCAAUGCUCAUACCUGAAGCCUCCAUCUUCCUCAAAGUAAUCAUGUGCAACAUUUAUCCUCAAGCUUACGAUAAAGAAGAACCAUCCACAAUGGUCUUAGUAGCAAUCUAUUGUUUACUGUCAAAGAUCAGGGUAAACUGGACAUCCUUAAUCAUGCACAACAUGACAACAUCAACGACGAGUACUGGAGCACGUCACUACCCAAGGAUGCUCUCCAAAAUCCUCGGUCCAGAGUACUUUGAAAUCCGUCUCUCUCCCAAUCCACUAAUAGUUCACAUCCAACCAUUUACUGCAAGCUCCUUCCAGAAGAAAUGGAAGAAUAUUUAUAAUCCAAAGCCACAAAACACUAAAAUGUUUAUGAAUGAGGAAAUCAUAAGGAUUCGACAUCAAGUAAGGAUGCUAGAGAAAGGAGUGGGAGAUCUGGAAGAGAUGGUUUCUAUAACAAGGCAACAACUGGAGGUUGAAAGGGAAUACAACCUGGAGCUUGCAAACCUGUUUCAUGAGUUUAGCUCCAAGGUUAUUCCAACCAUGCACCACCAUAACUGAAGUAUCUGCCCUAAGGAAUAGUUUCAUGUUUUGAGUGCUUGUAUUUUGUGUCUGUUUUUCUGCUAUUUUUAAGAUCCAUUCAUGGAUCGUAGUCUCAUUGAAUAUGAGAUCAACUUUGUCAUGUAUCACCUUUUCUACUGGAAUGAAAAAAUCAUUUUAUGAUUUUAAUCAUCUAUGCUUAUAAACAUAAGGGUAUGCAUGCAUAAAGAAAAACAUAUUAUCAGCAAAAUCAAAUAUUUAAGGGCUGCAUGAAUAGACCAAAAACUUCAAGGACUUAAACAUAAAUUAUUUAUGAAGUUUUUAAGUUUUAAAAAAUUCACUAAAACUUAAGGGUUAAAAUAAUAUCUUUACAGUGAAUAUAAAUGUAUUUAAAACUUCAAGAACUUAAAAUUAAUAUUUACAUGAAGAUUUAAAUCGAAAAAUUGCUUAGAAAUAUUUACUUCCAAGGUUUAAAAUGAAAUAUUUCAAGUAUUAAUCUAAGUAUUUUGCAUAACUUCAAAGGGC
This 15521-nucleotide long non-coding RNA is filed under the name Zostera marina. Its description in RNAcentral is "long non-coding RNA (ZMAR_LNC001026)". The record is from RNAcentral. Lineage: Eukaryota; Viridiplantae; Streptophyta; Magnoliopsida; Alismatales; Zosteraceae.